GAUGAACGCUGGCGGCGUUCCUAAUACAUGCAAGUCGAGCGAACGGACUAGAAGCUUGCUUUUCUGUUGUUAGCGGCGGACGGGUGAGUAACACGUGGAUAACCUACCUAUAAGACUGGGUUAACUUCGGGAAACCGGAGCUAAUACCGGAUUAUAUUUUGAACCGCAUGGUUCAAGAGAGAAAGACUGUCUUGCUGUCACUUAUAGAUGUACCCGCGCUGCAUUAGCUAGUUGGUAAGGUAACGGCUUACCAAGGCAACGAUGCAUAGCCGACAUGAGAGGUUGAUCGGCGCCACUGGAGCUGAGACACGCUCCAGAUUCCUACGGGAGGCAGCAGUAGGGAAGCUUCCGGAAUGAGCGCAUGCCUGACGGAGCAAAGAGCUGUGAGUGGUGGUGGUGUUCCGAUCGGAAAACUCUGUUAAUAGGGAAGACCAUAAGUGUAAGUAAAAGUGCACCACUUGACGGAACCUAACCAGAGAGGCACGGCUCACCACGUG
This 497-nucleotide ribosomal RNA is filed under the name uncultured bacterium. Its description in RNAcentral is "partial 16S ribosomal RNA". It matches the Rfam family "Bacterial small subunit ribosomal RNA", at positions 28 to 507 of the family's 1533-position model. The record is from RNAcentral.